AAUGGCAGAUAAGGUGCAGCAGGAGGGACCAGAGGACCAGGGGACUCAGGAUUCGGAGGAUUCAGAAGCUUCCAUGUAGGAUUCAGCAACAAAAUUUAGGGGUCAAGGUCAUGGCUGAUGCCAUAACUGUCACUGAGGCCACAGAGCUCAUGGAGGUGAAGCUGAAGACAAGGAGUGGGUCUCUAUCACCAACCUGGGCCACCUGGUUAAGGAUAUAAAAAUCAAGUCCUUGGAGGAGAUCUACCUGAACUCUCAGUCCAUUAAGGAACAUUGACUUUAAAGAUGAGAUUCUGAAGAUCAUGACUGUGCCAAAGCAGACUCUGGCUGGCCAGUGGACCAGGUUCAAGGCCUUUGCCAUUAUUUGGGAUUACAAUCGUCACACCAGUUUUGGUGUUAAGUGCUUCAAGUAGGUAACCAUUGCCAUCUGAGGGGCCACA
Molecule: long non-coding RNA, 437 nt
Filed under: Mus musculus (house mouse)
Lineage: Eukaryota; Metazoa; Chordata; Mammalia; Rodentia; Muridae
Description: long non-coding RNA chr4:27543177-27543614
Source: RNAcentral